RNAcentral lists this ribosomal RNA (218 nucleotides) under uncultured bacterium. RNAcentral describes it as "partial 16S ribosomal RNA". It matches the Rfam family "Bacterial small subunit ribosomal RNA", at positions 524 to 740 of the family's 1533-position model. The record is from RNAcentral.
GACAGAGGUGCCAAGCGUUAGGCGGAAUCACUGGGCUUAAAGCGUGUGUAGGUGGAUGGCUAAGUACCUUGUGAAAUCCCACGGCUCAACCGUGGAACUGCUCGGUAUACUGGUCGUCUUGAGGCACUCAGGGGCGAGCGGAACAAAUGGUGGAGCGGUGAAAUGCGUAGAUAUCAUUUGGAACGCCAAUGGUGAAGACAGCUCGCUGGGGGGUGUAC